RNAcentral lists this transfer RNA (82 nucleotides) under Amborella trichopoda. Its description in RNAcentral is "tRNA AMTR_s00038t00275060". It matches the Rfam family "tRNA". From Rfam's summary of the family: Transfer RNA (tRNA) molecules are approximately 80 nucleotides in length. Lineage: Eukaryota; Viridiplantae; Streptophyta; Magnoliopsida; Amborellales; Amborellaceae. The record is from RNAcentral.
GCUGCUAUGGUGAAAUCGGUGGACACGCUGCUCUUAGGAAGUAGUGCUCGAGCAAUUUGGUUCGAAUCAGAGUGGCGGCACC